RNAcentral lists this ribosomal RNA (497 nucleotides) under uncultured bacterium. RNAcentral's name for it is "partial 16S ribosomal RNA". It matches the Rfam family "Bacterial small subunit ribosomal RNA", at positions 28 to 507 of the family's 1533-position model. The record is from RNAcentral.
GAUGAACGCUGGCGGCGUGCCUAAUACAUGCAAGUCGAGCGAACGGACGAGAAGCUUGCUUUUCUGAUGUUAGCGGCGGACGGGUGAGUAACACGUGGAUAACCUACCUAUAAGACUGGGAUAACUUCGGGAAACCGGAGCUAAUACCGGAUAAUAUUUUGAACCGCAUGGUUCAAAAGUGAAAGACGGUCUUGCUGUCACUUAUAGAUGGAUCCGCGCUGCAUUAGCUAGUUGGUAAGGUAACGGCUUACCAAGGCAACGAUGCAUAGCCGACCUGAGAGGGUGAUCGGCCACACUGGAACUGAGACACGGCCCAGGCUCCUACGGGAGGCAGCAGUAGGGAAUCUUCCGCAAAGGGCGAAAGCCUGACGGAGCAACGCCGCGUGAGUGAUGAAGGUCUUCGGAUCGUAAAACUCUGUUAUUAGGGAAGAACAUAUGUGUAAGUAACUGUGCACAUCUUGACGGUACCUAAUCAGAAAGCCACGGCUAACUACGUG